RNAcentral lists this ribosomal RNA (508 nucleotides) under uncultured bacterium. RNAcentral describes it as "partial 16S ribosomal RNA". It matches the Rfam family "Bacterial small subunit ribosomal RNA", at positions 28 to 507 of the family's 1533-position model. The record is from RNAcentral.
GACGAACGCUGGCGGCGUGCCUAAUACAUGCAAGUCGAACGCUUCUUUCCUCCCGAGUGCUUGCCCUCAAUUGGAAAGAGGAGUGGCGGACGGGUGAGUAACACGUGGGUAACCUACCCAUCAGAGGGGGAUAACACUUGGAAACAGGUGCUAAUACCGCAUAACAGUUUAUGCCGCAUGGCAUAAGAGUGAAAGGCGCUUUCGGGUGUCGUUGAUGGAUGGACCCGCGGUGCAUUAGCUAGUUGGUGAGGUAACGGCUCACCAAGGCCACGAUGCAUAGCCGACCUGAGAGGGUGAUCGGCCACACUGGGACUGAGACACGGCCCAGACUCCUACGGGAGGCAGCAGUAGGGAAUCUUCGGCAAUGGACGAAAGUCUGACCGAGCAACGCCGCGUGAGUGAAGAAGGUUUUCGGAUCGUAAAACUCUGUUGUUAGAGAAGAACAAGGACGUUAGUAACCGAACGUCCCCUGACGGUAUCUAACCAGAAAGCCACGGCUAACUACGUG